UCGAGAAUUUUUCUCAAUGGGGGAAACCCUGAAGGAGCGACGCCGCGUGGAGGAUGAAGGCUUUCGGGUUGUAAACUCCUGUCAUCUGGGAACAAAACUCGCAAGAGCUUGAUAGUACCAGAAGAGGAAGAGACGGCUAACUCUGUGCCAGCAGCCGCGGUAAUACAGAGGUCUCAAGCGUUGUUCGGAUUCAUUGGGCGUAAAGGGCGCGUAGGCGGUGGGGUAAGUCUGGUGUGAAAUCUCGGAGCUCAACUUCGAAAAUGCACUGGAUACUGCUCUGCUAGAGGGCUGGAGAGGAGAUCGGAAUUCACGGUGUAGCAGUGAAAUGCGUAGAUAUCGUGAGGAAGACCAGUGGCGAAGGCGGAUCUCUGGACAGCUCCUGACGCUGAGGCGCGAAGGCUAGGGGAGCAAACGGGAUUAGAUACCCCCGUAGUCC
This 436-nucleotide ribosomal RNA is filed under the name uncultured bacterium. RNAcentral's name for it is "bacterial SSU rRNA". It matches the Rfam family "Bacterial small subunit ribosomal RNA", at positions 355 to 796 of the family's 1533-position model. The record is from RNAcentral.